CUUUGCUGACAUUUCAGUCCAUCCCCUCAGCCACAACUCUGGCAGCAUAUUUGCUCACCUAAAAAAAGAAGCCCUGUGAUGUGCAAACCCAGAGCAGCACAAGGAGCAGGUGAGAAUACAGCUUUCACAACAGUCUUCUGAACACCCAGACGAGUUGACUAAGGCUGUGAUCACUUUUCGGACAGGGAAGAAGUCUUGGGAUGUACCAUGGUAUCUAGUGAGAUCUCCCUCUCUGCCUGAAGACACCCUCAAAAGGCAAGACUAAACAGUAGCAAGGAUGGUGCCUGUGUGCCCCAGGAAUGGAAAUGUGAUACCAAAUACUUCACCCUUGGCUGAUGUGGUCCAGGCUUGUAAAUCAUGACCACUUCAUGGAUGGGAGCCACCCACUAGGUGCCAGUGAGAUGCUGGCCAUGUCCCAGGCAAGCCUUGUGGAUGCUGAGGAUGGAGCCAAGGCGCUGCAUGGACCACUCUGCCAUAGCCCGUCUGCACAAAGGACUGCCCAAACUUCAGUGUGGCUCAAAGACUUUUUGCAAUUGGUGGUGAUGGCCUGUUUCUCCCCUGGGGUUGGCACCAGCUGCUGCAGUAUCAACAGCUUAAAUGCAGUCCAGGAAACUUACUUUCUCCUGCUUGAGCUUUUUGAAUAACAGCUAAAGUUUUCUGCAGAGGGAUCCCUGUUCUGCAGGCGAAUAAGGACAGAAGCACUGGAAAGCUCCUAUUUCUUGGUGCCAUCUUACUGCUAAAGGCCCCUAUCUCUGGAAAACCAGUAGCUGCCUUCAUGAGUGAGGCACAUUUUUUAUUAGAUAAGCUGAGAAAAUGAUGUUCUGAGACCUGGUAUCCCUACUAAAUGUGUUGUUACUACUACUUGGGAUGGUCCUUUAAAAACUACCUGUGUUUCAGACCCUUGUGCAAUUCCUUCACAGAACAAGAGCCACCUGUGGCUCUGCUACCCAGCUACUGAGGUGAGUAGGGGGAAACUGCAGGAUUAAAACAACCCAGACAAGUUUCCAGCCCUUGUGGCUGUGAUGGGGAAGCUUGGCAAUUUGACAGCACACACCUCAGGAGCUCAGAAACUGGAAGGAGAAGAGAUGAUCUGGUGUUUGCAUUCUUCUAAUAUUUCUUAGGGUUUAAACCAACAAGAAGCUUUGUCUGUAAUUUUGCUGCAUCGUUCAGCUGUUCUGAAGUGCGUGCAGAGCUUCAGAAAGCAGCUUAACCAGCCAACAAACUGCAUGCAUAGCUGAAGAAAUAAAUAAAUAAAUCAAGAGUGUGUUUCUAAUGCCCAUGUUGAGGCAAAAUAACAUUAAAAAAGAA
Melopsittacus undulatus (budgerigar) is the source of this 1308-nucleotide long non-coding RNA. RefSeq lists it as uncharacterized. Lineage: Eukaryota; Metazoa; Chordata; Aves; Psittaciformes; Psittaculidae. The record is from RefSeq and is a predicted model, not a curated record. The transcript has 3 exons.